AGACGGACAGACGGCUGCGGUGUGUGGACCGGAACAGUAGCUGUCGGGUUCGGAUCUACCUGCGGAUGAACCACCUGCCGGAGCAGAGUCCGCAGACGGCUCCAAAUGUGCGCUUUUCUCCUCUUGUGUCUCGGGUCUUAAAGUGUCUCGCCGUGGGAACAGUUGGAUCAGAAGAGUUGGAGAAGCUUGAAUCAUGGCUGGUGUCGGACUGUGGGAGCCUGCACCCAGGACGCACGGUCCAUCCGAGCCGGGACCGUCCACACCCUGAGUCCAGAACCGGACCGUAGCACCGGGGCCGAAUCCACCAGAAUGAUCCGGUCCAGUAUGAAGAGAAAGUUGACUCUGUUCCAUGUGCUGACCUUUGUCCUCCUGCUGCUUGCUCCGGUUGCCCUGUCCUCCCCACAGAGCUUGUGGCUCUCCAUUAGGGGGGCUUCUUCCAAGGCUGCCUCGGGGCAUCUGGUUCGUGCCCGACGGCAACUGCACUUCAGGAACGAGUGGGCGACGUGGGGUGUGUGGUCUGUCUGCUCACGGAGCUGUGGGGGUGGAGCCUCAGUUCGCAGUCGCACCUGCAUCACCAGGAAUCUGAUGGGUGGGCUGUGUGCUGGAGAUCUGCGACAAUACAAGAUCUGUAACAACAAGGAGUGUCCAUCAGGUUCAGAAGAUUUCAGAGAGAUGCAGUGUGCUGCCUUCAAUGACCGACCUCUGGUGGCUGGAAACUCAUACAGGUGGACCACGUUUCAUGGAGGUUCAAACCCCUGUGAGCUCAGCUGUCUGGCUUUGGGUCACAACUUCUACUACAACUUUGGUCGCGUUCUGGAUGGAACAUCUUGUGAUAAAGAGCCUGGAACCAUUUGUGUCAACGGACGCUGUCUGAAACCAGGUUGUGACUCCAUUUUGGGUUCGGAGCAACAGGAAGACGCCUGUAUGGUGUGUGGUGGACAAAACACCACCUGUCUGCACCACAAGAGUGUAUAUCAGAGCAACACACUGGAGGCAGGUGGACCUUUUGGAUACAACGAAGUGGCCAUGAUCCCAGCUGGAGCCACUCACAUCAGAGUCACAGACAACAGCAAGAACUACCUGGCCCUGCAGAACGGACGCUCCCAGUUUGUCAUCAAUGGAAACUGGAAGAUCAGCGUUCCUGGAGAAUACAGUGUGGCUGGGACGAAACUGCUGUACAGACGCUCUGCGGACACCUGGGAGAGCUUUGAGGUCAUGGGACCAACCCAAGAAGACCUGCACCUCAUGGUUCUGUCCACCGACAUAAACCUGGGGAUUGAGUAUGAGUACUGGCUUCCUCCAGAUCAGUACAAUCUGUACCACGGCAGGAGUCCUCUCCGCCAAGCUCACCGCACUGCCACCUAUAUCCCCUGGGACCAGCCCACCACCACAGAAACCACCACCACCAGGACUACCACCCACCAUACUACCGUCAGACCACACCACAAAGUCCAGCCUCGUCAAGGGCGAGAGGAGAACCACAGGAACCGACCACCAUAUCCCUCACUUAGACGGCAUUGUGGGAAUUGUCAGCGGGUUCGAGGACGUAGAGAGCGUCAGAGGCAGUACUGUCAGAAGGACUUUGUUUUCCGAGCUCGAGUACUUGGAAAACUGUACCAAGGUGAGGAGACUCGCUAUGAUGUCCAGAUUAUCCAUACUUAUCGGAAUCGCUUUCGUCUGGAGCACCGAGAGUUCCUGUGGGUCCCAAAUGUGUGCGACUGCCCCCUGCUGGAGGAGGGCAGGCAGUACAUUUUGAUGGUUCGGCGCCAUAUCAACUAUGAGCAUACGCUUAACCGCAUCCUGCUGGAAGAAGAGAGCUACGUUGUCCCAUACAGACCAAGAGAAGAUGAACUGCUGAGGCCGCUCGAACAGCUCUGCAGCAACAGAGGAGCAAGGCGACUGAGGGGAUAAGAGGACACCAUCUGUCCCACACCACAAACAAAUUUAUUAUUUUGCUGACUGAAUGUACAGAGCACUUUAGGUGGCCACCACCUUCAAACAGCUACCAAAGAGAAGAACAGGGACUCAGGCACUUGCUUUAGAGCUGUUUUUACACAAAUAUACUGUCAUUUUUUAUAUUAUUGCAUUUUUAUUACCUAAACUUAAAGGAAAAAUCCACCUGUAAUCAGCAUUUGUCAAGGACUUCAAGGGUUGAUGUGGUGUCUUCUUAUGCAGUAUUAAUUCCAUUGACUAAUAAUGUUGAAACCAACCAAAUAUGGAGUUGGUCUUCUUAAUUCUAUUGGAGGAGGUUAAAUCCAACAGCUAAAAAUAGCAAAUAAAAGGCAAAACUUGCAUAUUCAAACCAAAAUGCUAGACUUCCUGUUGGGUUUAAGGACAUUUGUUGUGUUGGACCUGAUACAAGUGUCUGUCAAAUAUGGUAUGUCCACAUGAACCAUCACUCAGGGGCUUAACUUUUUUUUUUUUUCCUGGCAAAACAUCAAAAUUCAUUACAUCACCAACAUCAUUUAAUGAAAAGUCACCACUUUCCUCUUCAUCACAAAGGUCUUUAAAUGAAAUUGAUCCAAUUUUAAGUCUCUCAGGUUGUUCUCUAAAGGUUUAAGUUCGAUGGCAAAAAUGUAAAAAAAAAUUGCAUAUUCAUAUCCAAACAGAGUACCGGUUGGGUUUAGAGUUUGUCUUCAGGGCUUUUUUCUGUGCAUCUCGACCUGAUGCAUGUGUCAACUACAUUUGGUUCAUCUAGGUGACAUCAUGAUCAGGGACCCAAAAAUGUCCUAGGUGACACUGUUGAUCCAGUUUUUCAACGUCAAAAUGCGUUGCCAUGUCAUCCACCAUUCACUGGUACUUAUUUCAAAUAACCAUUCAUCACAAAUAUUGUUUACACACAUUUCAUACACUGAUAAUGUUACAAAAAACGGUUGGCUAGCAGGACAGCACAUCUCUGAAACUGGAAUAAAUGAUAAGGUUGUAUUCUUCAAAGAUGCAAACAAAAUUAGGCCUGGAAAAAUAACAAAUCCAUCCAUAAUCAUCUAAAGUUUAAUGCAUUAAAUUUGUAUUAAAUCUUUACUCAUACUUUAGUGUAUCUCAUUUUUAAAUAUCGGACACAAAUGGGUGGGUUUAGCUUUUGGUUCCCAUUGACUUUUUUGCACAUCUGGAACUGAUCCAUAUUUCUAAAUGCGAUACAUCUUGAUCAAAUUGAACACAUGGCUCAAUUUUUGAAAUGAUACUUUUUUUUGCCACUUUGACACAUUUGUUGUUGAGGACAUUCGUUCUCCUAAAAUGUGUGACUGAUUGAGGUUUCUGCCUGUUAAAGGUAGUUUUUCCUCACCACUGUUACCAAGUGUUUGCUCCUGGAUGUGAAUUGACUUAAGAGUCCGAUUUGACCAGUUCUAAGUGUAAAGUGCCAUAAGAUAACUUUUGCUAUGAUUUGAUGUCAUAUAAAUAACAUUUUAUUUGAUUUACAGUCAGAAUAGCCGUCCUUCAAAAGGCCCUAUUGUGAUCCAGGUCUGUGUUCCACCUCUGUACCCUACUUUAUUCCACCUCAUCAUCACAACUUUUACACAAUUUUAUGGAAUUCACGAUCAAUAGACUCACUUAUUUAUAAGUAAAUAAAGCCAAAUUUUACUGCCUAAAAUUUCACAGUCUUUUCAGACUUUAGAGCUGCUGUUCACUUCUGCAGCUCUUUUUUCUCUUUUCACCAGAAACUCCUGAUGUCGCUGCCCUUUUUACCUCUUUAAUCACAAAUAUUGUGUUGAAAAAAAAAACCUAAACAAAAAUGUCUACAACAGGACACGACUGAAUGAAGGUGGAUUUUUCUUUUACAGUGUUUAUUCACCAACAUAAUUAUGACUUCAUUUAUUUAUGUAGAAGCAGUCAUUUAAUGUCUCACUUCUGUCAAUUUUUUUUGUAUAGUGUGGUAAAUAAGGUGGUGAUACUUUACAUGAAAGAGACGUUAAACGUGUAAAACCAGUGUUUUAUUGUGUGGCAUUGAUCAGAUCCUCAUCAGACCUCAGUGUAAGUGUGCCAAAAUGGCUUAUCUGGACUUUUGCUUUUUUUUUUUAAGAAAUGAAAAGACAACAACCAUGUUUGUAAGAAAAUUAUGUAUUUACAAAAACACUUUGAAAUCGUCUACAACAAAUGAAACACUAAAAUGACACAUUGCUGCUGUUGUUAUUUCACUCUGUUUGUCUUUUUUGAGUUUUUUAGCAUCUCAGACAGAGCCUUUGUUCAGGAGGUCAGAUUCAACAGUCAGACCUUUAAAGAUCCAGAAUAAAAACAAGUUUAGAUGUGGCCAUAAUCUGAUAAACAGUGAUAUUUACAUGAUGUUCAUAAAUAAUAAGCAAUGUUUCUUCUUCACUUGUUCAUCCUAAAGUAACAGAUUACUUGUGUUACUUUUAAACCUGGUUUUCUCUUACGUAAUUUAGUAAUUAUUCAAAUGUAAGAGGAGUUGGAGCCUCAAAUGUUUAACACAGUUUUUAUUUUGUCUCAUUCUGAAGAUUCAAAAUGAUGGUGAAAAUCAUUAGUACCCCCUCACUUUCAUGUUGGAAAGAAAUCUGUAAAGUUUUUGUAAAAACAGACACACUGCAAAACCUUACCCCUUUUUUACUUGGUCAGUAGUUGAAUUUCCCUGAUUUAUCUUUACAAGUGCCAAACAUUUGCUUCUUAAAUUUCACUGAUUCUUUUGUGUUUUAGGAAAGUUAAACUGUCUUUUUCUUUUUCUCCUCAUGUAACAGCUGCAGACUUUUAACCUCCUUUUCUGUUCAGUAAUUGAUUAUUCAAUGAAAAAGCAGUUUUUACACUAAAAACAAUUUAAAUUUUUUCAUGAGCUGACAGUUACUAAUAAUUACUGAAAGAAAAACCAGCAGAUCAUUCUGAAACCCUGAACAACAAAACCUGAAACUAGAAAACUCCUAACCUGCAGCUGUUCAUAAUGGAUGAAUGGUUUCAAUGGUUCUCUAGUAAAAAUAACAAAUCUUUGCUGAUUUGUCCAGUUUUACAUCUGUCUUUUUGUAUUAGGUUUUCAGCUGUUUGUAAGUGAAUCAAUGUCCCCUGGCACAACAUUUAAUUGAUAUAUGAUGUAUCAGUGUUUUUCCAGAAGUCUAUGUUCACCUCCAACUGCUCAAAUCUGAUGGCAUUUGAGAUAAAGCAUCUAUCUUUGUCUUUUAGCACUCCUGAUUUCUUUCAAAACAAGUGCAAUAAAAUUAGUCAUGUAAA
RNA transcript from Sphaeramia orbicularis (orbiculate cardinalfish), 5169 nucleotides. It is a transcript of the gene named ADAMTS like 5, with no coding region annotated. NCBI's taxonomy places the organism in Eukaryota, Metazoa, Chordata, Actinopteri, Kurtiformes, Apogonidae. The record is from RefSeq and is a predicted model, not a curated record. The transcript is spliced from 14 exons.